RNAcentral lists this ribosomal RNA (483 nucleotides) under uncultured bacterium. RNAcentral describes it as "bacterial SSU rRNA". It matches the Rfam family "Bacterial small subunit ribosomal RNA", at positions 597 to 1085 of the family's 1533-position model. The record is from RNAcentral.
AAAGCCUACAGCUCAACUGUAGAACUGCCAUUGAUACUGUAUGACUUGAAUUCGAUCGAAGUGGGCGGAAUAUGACAUGUAGCGGUGAAAUGCUUAGAUAUGUCAUAGAACACCGAUAGCGAAGGCAGCUCACUAGGUCUGGAUUGACGCUCAGGGACGAAAGCGUGGGGAGCAAAACAGGAUUAGAUACCCUGGUAGUCCACGCCGUAAACUAUCAAUACUCGUUCUCAGCUCUUUAGGAGUUGGGGACCAAGCGAAAGUGAUAAGUAUUGCACCUGGGGAGUACGAUCGCAAGGUUGAAACUCAAAGGAAUUGACGGGGGCCCGCACAAGCGGUGGAGCAUGUGGUUAAUUCGAUGAUACGCGAGGAACCUUACCAGGGCUUAAAUGCAGAACGCAUAUAGUGGAACAUUAUAGUCUUCGGACGGUCUGCAAGGUGCUGCAUGGCUGUCGUCAGCUCGUGCCGUGAGGUGUUGGGUUAAGU